AAACAAACAAAACCUUUCUUUGGGCCAAGAG
Molecule: non-coding RNA, 31 nt
Filed under: Rattus norvegicus (Norway rat)
Lineage: Eukaryota; Metazoa; Chordata; Mammalia; Rodentia; Muridae
Source: RNAcentral